UACGGGGGGGGCAAGCGUUGUUCGGAAUUACUGGGCGUAAAGAGUGUGUAGGCGGUGCUCUAAGUUCGGUGUGAAAUCUCCUGGCUUAACUGGGAGGGUGCGCCGGAAACUGGAGUGCUUGAGCGUGGGAGAGGAAAGCGGAAUUCCUGGUGUAGCGGUGAAAUGCGUAGAUAUCGGGAGGAACACCUGUGGUGUAGACGGCUUUCUGGACCAUAGCUGACGCUGAGACACGAAAGCGUGGGUAGCAAACAGG
This 253-nucleotide ribosomal RNA is filed under the name uncultured bacterium. Its description in RNAcentral is "partial 16S ribosomal RNA". It matches the Rfam family "Bacterial small subunit ribosomal RNA", at positions 524 to 776 of the family's 1533-position model. The record is from RNAcentral.